Vicia faba (fava bean) is the source of this 161-nucleotide non-coding RNA. The record is from the annotation of a GenBank genome assembly. NCBI's taxonomy places the organism in Eukaryota, Viridiplantae, Streptophyta, Magnoliopsida, Fabales, Fabaceae.
CACAUUCACAGGCUCCAAGUAUAAGUUCAUGGAAACUUUGCAGGGUCAUCAAAGUCCAAAACGCGAAAAUAAUUCUCAGCAUGGUCCCAAUAUUCUGCUGCACAAAUAUAAAGAAUCUUCUUGAUAUCAAGUUCAAAAUGAGCCUUAUCUUCUUGAUAUGA